Molecule: ribosomal RNA, 443 nt
Filed under: Cyanobacteriota bacterium 5878_1PII
Lineage: Bacteria; Bacillati; Cyanobacteriota
Description: bacterial SSU rRNA
Rfam family: Bacterial small subunit ribosomal RNA
Source: RNAcentral
CCUACGGGUGGCUGCAGUGGGGAAUUUUCCGCAAUGGGCGAAAGCCUGACGGAGCAAUACCGCGUGAGGGAGGAAGGCUCUUGGGUUGUAAACCUCUUUUCUCAGGGAAUAAGCAAGUGAAGGUACCUGAGGAAUCAGCAUCGGCUAACUCCGUGCCAGCAGCCGCGGUAAUACGGAGGAUGCAAGCGUUAUCCGGAAUGAUUGGGCGUAAAGCGUCCGUAGGUAGCAGUGUGUGUCUAUUGUUAAAGAGUUUGGCUUAACCAAAUAAAGGCGGUAGAAACUACACAGCUAGAGUGCGUUCGGGGCAGAGGGGAUUCCUGGUGUCGCGGUGAAAUGCGUAGCGAUCAGGAAGGACACCGGUGGCGCAAGCGCUCUGCUAGGCCGCAACUGACACUGAGGGACGAAAGCUAGGGGAGCGAAUGGGAUUCGCUGCCCCAGUAGUC